UAGGGAAUCUUCCGCAAUGGGCGAAAGCCUGACGGAGCAACGCCGCGUGAGUGAUGAAGGUCUUCGGAUCGUAAAACUCUGUUAUUAGGGAAGAACAAAUGUGUAAGUAACUAUGCACGUCUUGACGGUACCUAAUCAGAAAGCCACGGCUAACUACGUGCCAGCAGACGCGGUAAUACGUAGGUGGCAAGCGUUAUCCGGAAUUAUUGGGCGUAAAGCGCGCGUAGGCGGUUUUUUAAGUCUGAUGUGAAAGCCCACGGCUCAACCGUGGAGGGACAUUGGAAACUGGAAAACUUGAGUGCAGAAGAGGAAAGUGGAAUUCCAUGUGUAGCAGUGAAAUGCGCAGAGAUAUGGAGGAACACCAGUGGCGAAGGCGACUUUCUGGUCUGUAACUGACGCUGAUGUGCGAAAGCGUGGGGAUCAAACAGG
This 429-nucleotide ribosomal RNA is filed under the name Actinomycetes bacterium. Its description in RNAcentral is "Actinobacteria bacterium partial 16S ribosomal RNA". It matches the Rfam family "Bacterial small subunit ribosomal RNA", at positions 355 to 776 of the family's 1533-position model. The record is from RNAcentral. Lineage: Bacteria; Bacillati; Actinomycetota; Actinomycetes.